CGUCUCAGUUCNGAUUGCAGGCUGCAACUCGCCUGCAUGAAGUCGGAAUUGCUAGUAAUCGCAGAUCAGCAUGCUGCGGUGAAUACGUUCCCGGGCCUUGUACACACCGCCCGUCACACCAUGGGAGUCGGUAACACCCGAAGUCGGUAGCCUAACCGUAAGGAGGGCGCCGCCGAAGGUGGGAUUGAUGACUGGGGUGAAGUCGUAACAAGGUAAC
RNAcentral lists this ribosomal RNA (217 nucleotides) under uncultured bacterium. RNAcentral's name for it is "partial 16S ribosomal RNA". It matches the Rfam family "Bacterial small subunit ribosomal RNA", at positions 1284 to 1500 of the family's 1533-position model. The record is from RNAcentral.